CUGCUGUCCUGAGAGUUACUGUGAAAUCUUUCUGUUCACUGAAUCUUCUGAAUCCCUAGAGGAGAGCAUCAUUACCUAACAGUUAAAUACAAAAGGUGUAGGACCCAAGGAAUCCAGCUGAGGGCCUGUAUCCCAUGGCAAUGUCCUACUUGAGUCCAGCUGAAGACGUAGAGCC
Molecule: long non-coding RNA, 175 nt
Filed under: Cavia porcellus (domestic guinea pig)
Lineage: Eukaryota; Metazoa; Chordata; Mammalia; Rodentia; Caviidae
Description: lncRNA (ENSCPOG00000032220.1)
Source: RNAcentral